Molecule: ribosomal RNA, 312 nt
Filed under: Hamataliwa sp. SP20
Lineage: Eukaryota; Metazoa; Arthropoda; Arachnida; Araneae; Oxyopidae
Description: partial 12S ribosomal RNA
Source: RNAcentral
AGGUAGUAAUUCUUUUUUAAUAAACCUAUUUAAAUUGGCGGCAUUUAAUUUAAUUAGAGGAACUUGUCUUUUAAUCGAUAAUCCACGUUAAUCUUCACUUUAAUUAAAAAUUUAUAUACCGCCAUCAAAAAUUAAUUAAAUAUAUUAUUUUUAAUAACAAUUAAAAAGUUAGGUCAAGGUAUAAUCAAUAUCAAAGUUUCGAUGAGUUACAUUAAAUAAUAUUUAAGGAUUUAAUUUUAAAUUUAAAAUGAAAAAGGAUUUAAUAGUAAUUCUUUAAUUAAUAUUUUAAAAUGAAUAAAACAAAAAAUGUGC